UCUUACCAUGCUCCUAUGCACUUUCAAUUGUUGCCUCGGAACAUCAGCCCGCUCCCGGUAAAACGGGACGGCCCGCCAGAGGACCCUAAACUCUGUUUCUAUAUGUAACUUCUGAGUAAAACCAUAAAUAAAUCAAAACUUUCAACAACGGAUCUCUUGGUUCUGGCAUCGAUGAAGAACGCAGCAAAAUGCGAUAAGUAAUGUGAAUUGCAGAAUUCAGUGAAUCAUCGAAUCUUUGAACGCACAUUGCGCCCGCCAGUAUUCUGGCGGGCAUGCCUGUUCGAGCGUCAUUUCAACCCUCAAGCCCCCGGGUUUGGUGUUGGGGAUCGGCGAGCCUUGCGGUAAGCCGGCCCCGAAAUCUAGUGCGGUCUCGCUGCAGCUUCCAUUGCGUAGUAGUAAAACCCUCGCAACUGGUACGCGCGCGGCAAGCCGUAAACCCCAACUUGUGAUGGUGACCUCGGAUCAGGUAGGAAUACCGCUGACUUAGCAUAUCAAUAGCCGGAGAGACUUCUGGG
RNAcentral lists this ribosomal RNA (515 nucleotides) under Fusarium proliferatum. Its description in RNAcentral is "eukaryotic LSU rRNA". The stretch from base 137 to 290 matches the Rfam family "5.8S ribosomal RNA". The record is from RNAcentral. Lineage: Eukaryota; Fungi; Ascomycota; Sordariomycetes; Hypocreales; Nectriaceae.